This 452-nucleotide ribosomal RNA is filed under the name uncultured bacterium. Its description in RNAcentral is "bacterial SSU rRNA". It matches the Rfam family "Bacterial small subunit ribosomal RNA", at positions 28 to 478 of the family's 1533-position model. The record is from RNAcentral.
GAUGAACGCUGGCGGCGUGCUUAACACAUGCAAGUCGAACGGGAAACAUUUUAUUGAAGCUUCGGCAGAUUUAGUUUGUUUUCUAGUGGCGGACGGGUGAGUAACGCGUGAGUAACCUGCCUUUCAGAGGGGGAUAACGUUCUGAAAAGAACGCUAAUACCGCAUAAGAUUGUAGUUUCGCAUGGGACAGCAAUCAAAGGAGCAAUCCGCUGAAAGAUGGACUCGCGUCCGAUUAGAUAGUUGGCGGGGCAACGGCCCACCAAGUCGACGAUCGGUAGCCGGACUGAGAGGUUGAUCGGCCACAUUGGGACUGAGACACGGGCCCAGACUCCUACGGGAGGCAGCAGUGAGGGAUAUUGGGCAAUGGGGGAACCUGACCCAGCAACGCCGCGUGAGGGAUGAACGGUUUUCGGAUUGUAAACCUCUGUCCUCUGUGAAGAUAGUGACGGUAG